AUAUUUAUAUGUUACCAGGAAUAUUCUUUACCAUAUUAUUCCUAAAACAAACAAUUCAAAUAAUGAUUUCAUCAAUCCUAAGUUGGAAAUACCACAAAAGUUGUAUUAAUAAAAACUUCAUGCAUUAACUCAUACACAGAGUAGACACAAAAUAUCUAACAUUACGUAAUACUAUAAGUUUAAUACUUAGUAAUAUAAAUUUAGAAAAAUGACAAAAUAUAGAUUUUCUUUAAGUUUUAUUUUUAAUACAAGUCUAAAACAACAUCAUCUAACUCAUUUAAGUUUAUCGAACUCACUGUCAACUUUGUCACCCUCUUCAUUACAGAUAUUGUCCUCUUAAAGUUCAACACAUAAUAUUUCCCAUCACUUGCAUCACACUCUUUAAAUCUCUCACUUACGCCACCAUUCUCUUCAUCAUAAUCAUUGAUACCUUGCUGCAUAAGAACAUGAAAAUAAAAUACAAGUAAACAAAAUCGGUCAAGACAGUUCUUACAAAAAUCCAAGACAAACAAAAUUAACUAUUACCAUUUUUUUAACUGCAAAUGUAAUAUUAACAAGAUAAUGUAUAAAGAGGAUAUCAAAUUAAUACAAGAGAAAGCACCAGACUAAAGAAACAUAAGAUCAAAAUAAAACCCAACAACUAUGUGUUGUAACAAUUUUCAUAUAGUAUUGUUCACUGGUUGUCAUUUGACAACGGUCAUGGGUUUUUCUCUGAUUUUAGAAUUUUCACAUUAAUCUCUUAUGUUGUUAUUGUGUUCCUCUUUUUCUCUAUGUUUUGUUUGUUUUUUUCCAACAUACUUAAGAGUUUAUUAUAAAAAAUUAAAUAAUAAUGCCUAAGCAAGCCACAAAUUGGAUUUUUGAACAACUCAAAGACAAUAAUCUCUACCGUCUACAUCAUAACAAAAUUAGUGAUCCAACUUCUUAAUAAUAUAUGUGUGGUCGCCAGAAACUGGUAACCAAUUGGCUUUGCUGCAUAUAAAUUUAAUAUAAAUGAAAUAUGUGGCAAGGUUUUGAAUGAUCAACUUUAACCAAUAAAAUAAUGUUUUUGAGGCGUGAAAUAAUGCAUUGAAAUUAUUGAUGUAAUUAGCUUUCUUUAAGCACUAAUGAUAUUGAAGAUUAUCUUCACAUCUCCAUUUUCACCAACUAUACCCUAACAAUUAAAGAUAACAAAUUGUUAGUUGAUAAUUAACACUACAUUCUAACUCUGCCCAGAAACAUACACAAUAUAUAGUGUUGAAUGUGAGUAAGUACAUGGUAGAUGAACAUAAUGAUAAUGUAUUAUGAUUCAAGAAUGCAUGACAUGUAUAUAUAUGCAUUUGUCAUAUAAUCUCUUGUUUCAUCCUCCUAAGCUUCCAACAAAUAGUAUAUUAAUUUACUUCUUGUUAUAUAAAAAAUUGAUUAAUGUAUCCAUGUGGCUAAAUGUUAUUGCUAGUAAAGCUUAAUUUUGAAAAGUUAAAAAAUAUGUUAAAAGAUUAACAAUAUACCAUAACAAUAAAGAGAAAGUAAAAACAUAAAUAAUAAACUUACACAAAAGAACAUAGGAAGCUAAAACGACACAAGAAUACUCAGUAACCAAGACAGGAAUUCAAAUUCAAUUCAUUGAGAAAAAAGAAACUAAAAGUUAAUGUAUGAAAUUCAAACUCAUUCAAUAUAUUGAUAUUGAAUUGCACCUGCAAUGAGUUAAUUUUUAGUUUUUCAAAAAAAUUAUAUAAUAAAUAUGUAUGAGUUUAAUAAGUAGUUUGUGUUUGCCUUGUCAUUUAUAAGUAUAUAAUCUUAAAAUUUUAAAUUUCUUUGGUGAAUGUUUUUAUUUUAAUAAUUUUAUCUUUUGGAGGAAUGGUUAAAUAAAAUGUUGUGAUAUUUGGAGGAAAGCUGUCAUAUUUUUUUGUUAUUUUAAAUUUUUUAUGCAACAUUUGAAAAUGUAAUCUUUUAUUAAAAUAAUACAAUAAUUUAAAAUUGUUCCCAUAAAUAUAUAAGAGGACAUUGAUUACUUAUUGCCCAAAAAAAGAAUAUAUAUGAACGGUUAAAAACCGUGCCCAAAAAGUAUUUAAGGGGACAUUGAUUUGUUAUUGUCAAAGAUAAAUUAUAGGAAUGAUUAAAACUUGCGCCUAAAAGUAUUUUAGAGAAAUUUUAUGUGGCGUUGCGAGAAUUGUCUUGGCAACAGAUCAAAAUUGUUGCCUUAUCUUUUUUUAGGAAACAAUUUACACUUGUUGCGCAAAAAGUGUUGCAAGAAGAGAUAAAUGAUGUAGUAAAAUUCAAUAAAAUAUAUCUAGACUUUUAUUUUCUCUAUUUCCUCCGGUUAUGUAUUAGGAUUCAAAUUAUAGAUUUUAAAAUUUCCCUACAUCGUAUGAUUAUAUAUUGUGAUGCAAGAAUGUAUAAUUACAAGACUAAAAUAAGGAUAAUCCUAGAUUAAUCUUAUUUCGCUAAAUAAUAACAAAAUUUUACAAAUAAUUCAUAUAAUAUCUAUUAUCGGAGUACAUACUACGAAAUACUUGAACAUGGUAACAACUAUAACAAUACAUAGAUUAAAAGACAUGGAUAAAGUAAAUAAUGCAAAUAAAUAUAUGUGAAUAAAGGAAAGUUUACUAUUAGGUUUUCUCACAUAAUUACUUAACUCUUACAAGUCUCGUGGUUGAGGGGCUCUGUAUUUUCAUAUUUUUUUCACUUAAAACACUUCACCCCUACAUGCCUCG
Molecule: long non-coding RNA, 2690 nt
Filed under: Lathyrus oleraceus (garden pea)
Lineage: Eukaryota; Viridiplantae; Streptophyta; Magnoliopsida; Fabales; Fabaceae
Description: Pisum sativum (pea) long non-coding RNA (PSAT_LNC035760)
Source: RNAcentral